CCCUAGCCCUGAUAGCAGCGACAUCCUGUUAUUGCGAGGCACAACUAUACUUAUAAAUUAGAUUGCUUCGUGCCUUGCUAUGACAGAUACAGCGAAUAGCAGGAAAUAGC
Molecule: small RNA, 110 nt
Filed under: Flavobacterium urocaniciphilum
Lineage: Bacteria; Pseudomonadati; Bacteroidota; Flavobacteriia; Flavobacteriales; Flavobacteriaceae
Description: Flavo-1 RNA
Rfam family: Flavo-1 RNA
Source: Rfam by way of RNAcentral